AACUCUGGAGAGUCUCAUUUUGAGCGCCGAAGGUGUACCAUGGUAAUCACGAUUACCAUCUAUCUCUCAGGCAAAAGGACAGAGCAU
This 87-nucleotide non-coding RNA is filed under the name uncultured Lachnoclostridium sp. RNAcentral's name for it is "Glycine riboswitch". It matches the Rfam family "Glycine riboswitch aptamer", at positions 9 to 86 of the family's 94-position model. From Rfam's summary of the family: This family represents the bacterial glycine riboswitch. Lineage: Bacteria; Bacillati; Bacillota; Clostridia; Lachnospirales; Lachnospiraceae. The record is from RNAcentral.